AAACUUUCAACAACGGAUCUCUUGGCUCUGGCAUCGAUGAAGAACGCAGCGAAAUGCGAUAAGUAAUGUGAAUUGCAGAAUUUAGUGAAUCAUCGAAUCUUUGAACGCACAUUGCGCCCCUGGGUAUUCCCAGGGGCAUGCCUGUUCGAGCGUC
RNAcentral lists this ribosomal RNA (154 nucleotides) under Phyllactinia chubutiana. RNAcentral's name for it is "5.8S rRNA". It matches the Rfam family "5.8S ribosomal RNA". Rfam says of the family: 5.8S ribosomal RNA (5.8S rRNA) is a component of the large subunit of the eukaryotic ribosome. It is transcribed by RNA polymerase I as part of the 45S precursor that also contains 18S and 28S rRNA. Functionally, it is thought that 5.8S rRNA may be involved in ribosome translocation. Lineage: Eukaryota; Fungi; Ascomycota; Leotiomycetes; Helotiales; Erysiphaceae. The record is from RNAcentral. RNAcentral also lists the same sequence under 2 other names.